GAUGAACGCUGGCGGCGUGCCUAAUACAUGCAAGUCGAGCGAACGGACGAGAAGCUUGCUUCUCUGAUGUUAGCGGCGGACGGGUGAGUAACACGUGGAUAACCUACCUAUAAGACUGGGAUAAAUUCGGGAAACCGGAGCUAAUACCGGAUAAUAUUUUGAACCGCAUGGUUCAAAAGUGAAAGACGGUCUUGCUGUCACUUAUAGAUGGAUCCGCGCUGCAUUAGCUAGUUGGUAAGGUAACGGCUUACCAAGGCAACGAUGCAUAGCCGACCUGAGAGGGUGAUCGGCCACACUGGAACUGAGACACGGUCCAGACUCCUACGGGAGGCAGCAGUAGGGAAUCUUCCGCAAUGGGCGAAAGCCUGACGGAGCAACGCCGCGUGAGUGAUGAAGGUCUUCGGAUCGUAAAACUAUGUUAUUAGGGAAGAACAUAUGUGUAAGUAACUGUGCACAUCUUGACGGUACCUAAUCAGAAAGCCACGGCUAACUACGUG
RNAcentral lists this ribosomal RNA (497 nucleotides) under uncultured bacterium. Its description in RNAcentral is "partial 16S ribosomal RNA". It matches the Rfam family "Bacterial small subunit ribosomal RNA", at positions 28 to 507 of the family's 1533-position model. The record is from RNAcentral.